AAAGUACAAACACUUGUAAUCGUCAUAAUUAUGCUCUUCUUCCUCCUUAGAACAAAACCUAAUUUUUCUCAGCCACACCUAAUUUCGAUCUCUUCCUCCUUAGUUUCUUCUUCCUCUACAAAAUCUGUCGCCUCCUCUUCCUGAGUCUCUUUCUCUACCUCAUGUUCCCAGACCCUAAACCCAUCUCACCCAAACCCAAACCCAAACCUAAUGUUACCUCCUGAUACCGUAAUGUUGGAGUAGAAUCCUCCGAUUGAACCCAUCUCUCCUCACCCGCCAGCGUCUUGGGGAGUAAUUGGUGGGGAAUUAGAAACGAGAAGGAGGGAAUUGUGAUCUAUGGCCGCCGAAAUCAAGAUCUACAACGUUUCGAGGUUAUGAAACCGCCGCAUCCGUACAGUACGCCCGUCACCUCCAGAUUAGAUUUCGACUAAAACCAGAGUACGAGAGGACAAGGUCGAGAAAUUCACAGUAUAGAGGAGUCACCUUCUAUAGAAGAACUGGUCGAUGGUUUCAAUACUGCUCAUGUUGCAGUAGGUGGUUUUGAUACUGCUCAUGUUGGUGCUAGGUAAUUUUUGGAUUGUGUUUGUUCAUCUCAUCAGGUUUGUUUCGAGUUUGGUUUUUUUUUUCUGAUAAAUGUUUUGUACUUGCCGAGCUUAUUGAUAUAAGAUCAAGGGGAUGAUCGGAUCUAAGUAGAUGACCACACGGUGCUUUCUACGUCGAUGUCGUAACCGGAGUUGACGGUGCCGGAACAAAGGACCACACGGUUCUCUUUGCGUUGACUAAGGAGUGGGAUGGAUCGAUGGACACCACACAAUCGAUGAGUGAGAUUGUGAUAAGUCGAGGAACUCACGAAUCAAGGGGAACCCGCACAAGAUUGGUGAACUCGUAAAACAAUUAAAAGAAAAGUUCUCUCUUUAUUGAUAAUAGGCAAAAACGUGAACUACAAGAGCUGCAAUGGACCUUAUUAAUAUGUCGACAGCUUUGACCUUCUAGGAUCUUUGAAAAGAGAAAAAAGGCAACAAAUAAUUCACAAAAUAAACUACAAAAGGAAUCUAGAUUACUUUCGAACCAAACUGCAAAAGAAAAGGAAAUUUCUCAUUUAUUAAAAAAUAUUUAAACGCUUACCUUGGCUUGGGGAGGAAGUUCUUGGCCUUGGAAGCUUCUAACUCAUGUCUUUUAAGUGUUUUCGUUUGGAGUGAUGACAAAAAGAACUUGGGCUUGGUUGGUCUUAAGGAGAGGCCUUUCACUUGUUGGUUCGUAAAAGUUCGGGCCGAUACUUAAGUCGGGUUUCGUGACGUUAAUUGCACUAUCCAUAAUAUCUUCUUGUUGGUGCUUUUUAUCGCCAAGGGUGAGAUUGUUGAACUGGUCAAUGGUGCUCUCCAAGUCUUUAUAGUUGAUUAAACUCUCCACAGCUUUAUUGAAUUCUUCACGCAUCGUCCUUGUACCGGAUCUUGUCCUAGGCGGUUGAUACAUAGUUGGAACUCUAACAGUGUUGGUGAUGCUUGAGCUUAUGUCCUCAUCACUUAUGAUCGAGCUGCUAUUAAAUUUAGAGGUGUUGAUGCUGAUAUCAACUUUACUCUGGGUGAUUAUGAAACAUGUUUUGUAGAUAUAGUUUCCUUGUUUAUGAAUAUUACAAAGAUUUUUUUUGGA
Molecule: non-coding RNA, 1650 nt
Organism: Camelina sativa (false flax)
Lineage: Eukaryota; Viridiplantae; Streptophyta; Magnoliopsida; Brassicales; Brassicaceae
Source: RefSeq, a predicted model, not a curated record